AUGCCUAUAUCCUCUGAUGAACUGCUUGAGUUUAUAAGAGGAGAUAACACAGAGUGGGGUUUCAGUUGUCAUUUAUUCGUUGUCAGGAAUGCUAUUCCAAUUUCCCUGUGGCUUUUAUUAUCUUUUUAUACAGGUGAUGUCUCUGGUGAGGGAAUCACUCCAGUCUUCCUAUACAAAACAGUCUCAGAAGAGAAAACAUCCAGCCUGUCCUGCAUUUAUAAUGGCUCAGCAGCUACAGAUGCUCUCCACUGGUAUCGCCAGUACCCAAAAUCCAGACCAGACUUCCUGUUUCUAGUUAACGAAGCUGCAUUUAAACAACCUGCUAAUCCUCCCAUUCCUGGAAUAUCUGCUAGAUUAAAUGAGGAGAAAAAUUGUGUGUAUCUGGACAUCAUCAACACUGCUGUAUCAGACUCUGCUGUGUAUUACUGUGGAACGGACGGACGCACGCAACGCACGCAGUACAGCACAUUCGGUGAGCGAGAGCGACACACUUCAGAUCAACACACAUGA
Danio aesculapii is the source of this 510-nucleotide non-coding RNA. The record is from the annotation of a RefSeq genome assembly. Lineage: Eukaryota; Metazoa; Chordata; Actinopteri; Cypriniformes; Danionidae.